This 588-nucleotide small RNA is filed under the name Pongo abelii (Sumatran orangutan). Its description in RNAcentral is "retained intron". The record is from RNAcentral. Lineage: Eukaryota; Metazoa; Chordata; Mammalia; Primates; Hominidae.
AGUGCGCGUCUCUGUCUGUGCGGCUGACCAGUUAGCGACAUGGUGGCACCCGUGCUGGAGACUUCUCACGUGUUUUGCUGCCCAAACCGGGUGCGGGGAGUCCUGAACUGGAGCUCUGGGCCCAGAGGACUUCUGGCCUUUGGCACGUCCUGCUCCGUGGUGCUCUAUGACCCCCUGAAAAGGGUUGUUGUUACCAACUUGAAUGGUCACACCGCCCGAGUCAAUUGCAUACAGUGGAUUUGUAAACAGGAUGGCUCCCCUUCUACUGAAUUAGUUUCUGGAGGAUCUGAUAAUCAAGUGAUUCACUGGGAAAUAGAGGAUAAUCAGGUGAGUAGACAUGUUUAUAAACAUAAGAAAUGACUUUUUUUGUUUGUUUGUUUUUUAAGAGGUAGAGUUUCACUGUGUCACCCAGGCUGACGUGCAGUGGUGUGAUCGUGGCUCACCUCAGCCUCCUAAGUAGCUGGGACUACAGGUGCCUGACACCAUGCCUGGCUGAUUUCUGUUUUUUUUGUUUUUGUUUUUUUUUUGUAGAGAUGGGGUCUUACUUUGUUGCCCAGGCUGGUCUCAGAAAUGACUUUUAUAUAUACU